CUGCAACAAACGUGAUCACCACGGCUAUUGUGGCUUUAUGACAGAAACCAGCAAAUGUCCCACAAGCUGCACUCCAAGUGAUGGCUGAGUCUCCUUUGUUUGCUAAGUAAAGCACCUCGGUUGAAACAGCAGCAGCUCCCAAGAUUACGUAUGUUAGAAUCUGAAAUUACUAUGAUGUUAUUAGCUGGUAUAAAUGGUUGAUGACUUGAUGUUAAUGAAAAAGGAAGUUUAAUUAGGUGACCUGAUCGAGUAGGAAGAAAGUCCAAGCUCUAGGCAUAGUAGAAGGACGAGGCACAGCUGCUAUAAUAGCUGAAAGAAGGGAAUAGCCUGCACAAAUACCAUUAGCAUGCACCAAGUACCUGAAAGCACCAAGAUCUGAGUAUGAAACGGAGCCAAAGUCAUUGGACUGUGAGUUUUUGAGCAUGACAACAAGUGCAGCAACCCCUAAAGCCAUAGGCACCAACCGCAGCAUGGUCUCGGCAGUUCUCAUGCUGGUAUUCACUUCUUGGUUUUCAUUUCUAGAUGAC
This 527-nucleotide long non-coding RNA is filed under the name Gossypium barbadense (sea-island cotton). Its description in RNAcentral is "long non-coding RNA (GBAR_LNC000059)". The record is from RNAcentral. Lineage: Eukaryota; Viridiplantae; Streptophyta; Magnoliopsida; Malvales; Malvaceae.